This 253-nucleotide ribosomal RNA is filed under the name uncultured bacterium. Its description in RNAcentral is "partial 16S ribosomal RNA". It matches the Rfam family "Bacterial small subunit ribosomal RNA", at positions 524 to 776 of the family's 1533-position model. The record is from RNAcentral.
UACGUAGGGGGCAAGCGUUGUCCGGAAUUAUUGGGCGUAAAGCGCACGUAGGUGGAAUCGUAAGUCUGAUGUGAAAGCCCUGGGCUCAACCUGGGAAUGGCAUUGGAAACUGGCGACCUAGAGUGCGGUAGAGGGUAGUGGAAUUCCCGGUGUAGCAGUGAAAUGCGUAGAGAUCGGGAGGAACAUCUGUGGCGAAGGCGACUGCCUGGACCAGCACUGACACUGAGGCACGAAAGCGUGGGGAGCAAACAGG